This 2425-nucleotide ribosomal RNA is filed under the name Cronobacter sakazakii 8399. RNAcentral's name for it is "bacterial LSU rRNA". It matches the Rfam family "Bacterial large subunit ribosomal RNA", at positions 400 to 2812 of the family's 2925-position model. Lineage: Bacteria; Pseudomonadati; Pseudomonadota; Gammaproteobacteria; Enterobacterales; Enterobacteriaceae. The record is from RNAcentral.
UGAGCUCGAUGAGUAGGGCGGGACACGUGAUAUCCUGUCUGAAGAUGGGGGGACCAUCCUCCAAGGCUAAAUACUCCUGACUGACCGAUAGUGAACCAGUACCGUGAGGGAAAGGCGAAAAGAACCCCGGCGAGGGGAGUGAAACAGAACCUGAAACCGUGUACGUACAAGCAGUGGGAGCCUUCGUAAGAGGGUGACUGCGUACCUUUUGUAUAAUGGGUCAGCGACUUAUAUUCUGUAGCAAGGUUAACCGUAUAGGGGAGCCGAAGGGAAACCGAGUCUUAAUUGGGCGUUAAGUUGCAGGGUAUAGACCCGAAACCCGGUGAUCUAGCCAUGGGCAGGUUGAAGGUUGGGUAACACUAACUGGAGGACCGAACCGACUAAUGUUGAAAAAUUAGCGGAUGACCUGUGGCUGGGGGUGAAAGGCCAAUCAAACCGGGAGAUAGCUGGUUCUCCCCGAAAGCUAUUUAGGUAGCGCCUCGUGAACUCAUCUCCGGGGGUAGAGCACUGUUUCGGCUAGGGGGCCAUCCCGGCUUACCAACCCGAUGCAAACUGCGAAUACCGGAGAAUGUUAUCACGGGAGACACACGGCGGGUGCUAACGUCCGUCGUGAAGAGGGAAACAACCCAGACCGCCAGCUAAGGUCCCAAAGUCAUGGUUAAGUGGGAAACGAUGUGGGAAGGCCCAGACAGCCAGGAUGUUGGCUUAGAAGCAGCCAUCAUUUAAAGAAAGCGUAAUAGCUCACUGGUCGAGUCGGCCUGCGCGGAAGAUGUAACGGGGCUAAACCAUGCACCGAAGCUGCGGCAGCGACACUAUGUGUUGUUGGGUAGGGGAGCGUUCUGUAAGCCUGCGAAGGUGUGCUGUGAGGCAUGCUGGAGGUAUCAGAAGUGCGAAUGCUGACAUAAGUAACGAUAAAGCGGGUGAAAAGCCCGCUCGCCGGAAGACCAAGGGUUCCUGUCCAACGUUAAUCGGGGCAGGGUGAGUCGACCCCUAAGGCGAGGCCGAAAGGCGUAGUCGAUGGGAAACAGGUUAAUAUUCCUGUACUUGGUGUUACUGCGAAGGGGGGACGGAGAAGGCUAUGUCGGCCGGGCGACGGUUGUCCCGGUUUAAGCGUGUAGGCUGACUUUCCAGGCAAAUCCGGAAGGUUAAGGCUGAGGCGUGAUGACGAGGCACCACGGUGCUGAAGUGACAAAUGCCCUGCUUCCAGGAAAAGCCUCUAAGCAUCAGGUAACAUCAAAUCGUACCCCAAACCGACACAGGUGGUCAGGUAGAGAAUACCAAGGCGCUUGAGAGAACUCGGGUGAAGGAACUAGGCAAAAUGGUGCCGUAACUUCGGGAGAAGGCACGCUGACAUGUAGGUGAAGCCCCUGCGGGUGGAGCUGAAGUCAGUCGAAGAUACCAGCUGGCUGCAACUGUUUAUUAAAAACACAGCACUGUGCAAACACGAAAGUGGACGUAUACGGUGUGACGCCUGCCCGGUGCCGGAAGGUUAAUUGAUGGGGUUAUCGCAAGAGAAGCUCCUGAUCGAAGCCCCGGUAAACGGCGGCCGUAACUAUAACGGUCCUAAGGUAGCGAAAUUCCUUGUCGGGUAAGUUCCGACCUGCACGAAUGGCGUAAUGAUGGCCAGGCUGUCUCCACCCGAGACUCAGUGAAAUUGAACUCGCUGUGAAGAUGCAGUGUACCCGCGGCAAGACGGAAAGACCCCGUGAACCUUUACUACAGCUUGACACUGAACAUUGAGCCUUGAUGUGUAGGAUAGGUGGGAGGCUUUGAAGCGUGGACGCCAGUCUGCGUGGAGCCGACCUUGAAAUACCACCCUUUAAUGUUUGAUGUUCUAACCUGGCGCCGUGAUCCGGCGUGGGGACAGUGUCUGGUGGGUAGUUUGACUGGGGCGGUCUCCUCCCAAAGUGUAACGGAGGAGCACGAAGGUCAGCUAAUCCUGGUCGGACAUCAGGAGGUUAGUGCAAUGGCAUAAGCUGGCUUGACUGCGAGAGUGACGGCUCGAGCAGGUGCGAAAGCAGGUCAUAGUGAUCCGGUGGUUCUGUAUGGAAGGGCCAUCGCUCAACGGAUAAAAGGUACUCCGGGGAUAACAGGCUGAUACCGCCCAAGAGUUCAUAUCGACGGCGGUGUUUGGCACCUCGAUGUCGGCUCAUCACAUCCUGGGGCUGAAGUAGGUCCCAAGGGUAUGGCUGUUCGCCAUUUAAAGUGGUACGCGAGCUGGGUUUAGAACGUCGUGAGACAGUUCGGUCCCUAUCUGCCGUGGGCGCUGGAGAAUUGAGGGGGGCUGCUCCCAGUACGAGAGGACCGGAGUGGACGCAUCACUGGUGUUCGGGUUGUCAUGCCAAUGGCACUGCCCGGUAGCUAAAUGCGGAAGAGAUAAGUGCUGAAAGCAUCUAAGCACGAAACUUGCCCCGAGAUGAGUUCU